Drosophila montana is the source of this 1662-nucleotide long non-coding RNA. RefSeq lists it as uncharacterized. The record is from RefSeq and is a predicted model, not a curated record. The transcript is spliced from 2 exons. NCBI's taxonomy places the organism in Eukaryota, Metazoa, Arthropoda, Insecta, Diptera, Drosophilidae.
CUAAAUUUUAGGGCUGAUUAGUUGAAUGUAUGUAUACCUGGCAUACCUUGAAAAGGGACCAUUUUUUGUUGAUCCUAAGCCAGCUUAACAAAGGCAAUUACACAUGUGAAAUUUUCUGGGAAACUUGUGAUUUCUAUAACAAAGGAGCCAUGUCCAUGGGCAGAGUAUAUAAAGCAGUGAGGCACGUAGGCAGCGAACACAGCAGUGUAUUCACUCACACCUUCGGAAUACAUUUGUCGCACACAAGGGAGACGAAUCGAUUUUUCGAAGCGUCGAGAAGGCAUCUGCCACCGGGUAUAAAUAGAGCUCGCAGCAGGCAUCGCACUCAUUCGAAAAAAAUAAGUGCUCAAGUGAAGUUCUCUCGUGAAACUGAAAUUUAGUUUAAAAAAAAAAAAAGUUGAUUUUGAUAUAAGUGCUAAUCUUUACAUUAGUUGUUACACACAUACCAUGCAUAUAUAUUGUUCAACGGCGAUGAAAAAGUGUGCAGAAACAUUUGGAAAGUCGAAACUGCGGAGCUAUAACAUGGCACGAAGGCUGAAAUAAUUGCUACUAUGGGUUUUUCAAGCAUUUCUGCUCUGAACAAAGAAAAUGAAAUCAGCAAAUCAGCUCGUCGUCGUCAUCAGCGUGGGCACGUCAGGCGUUUUCACAAAUCGGCGAAAUAUGGGGCCACACGAGAAACCAAACUUGGCGGUGCGAAAACCCAAGUUUUUCAUCUUUGGCUAGAAAGUUGCACUGUAGGCAGGCUCUCUGAGGCAGAUGCCAGGCGUUUGAAAUUGCUAGCCGGAGUGUGCGGAGUGUGUGUGUUGUCCUGGACUUGAGAGGAGUUUGGAUAGGAAGCCAGGUAUAAAACGCAGCGAAGACAGCUUGUUCUCUUGUUAUAUACUUGGGCGUUGAAAGUUGAUACGCGAUCGAUCGAUGUUGUAACUCGAAUGCAAUGCGUGCGAAAGGGCAUUACAACAGCUGAAAUAUGCUGUUGGUUUGGCCCCGUUAGCCGUGUGGCGAGAGUAUAUCUGAACUGCGACUGUGUGUGUGUGUCGCUAACCUACACAGGGGUACUAAACAUCGUUUUUAUCAGAUUGAUUGCGUGGAUUGAAUUUAUAGGAACCUGUAUAUCGACUUCUCUGCUCUACUACUAUGACUUGUUCAAAACAAAGGCGCACAAUUACAUAUACGUUUAUAUACGGCCUUCUAUUAUUUACCUAACAUCAUCGAACCGUUAUCAAUACCGAUCAAACAGAUAUAUAACACUGUACUGACAUCGAUCGAUAAAGAUAAAUAUCUCGUAUCUGGAUUAGCAACUGAACGAACGAGCUGAUCGGUAGUUCGUUUUAUGCAGCACAAAUUACAAACUAUAUUCCUGUUAUUUACUUAUUUUUUGUUGUAAACAUAAAACAUUUGCUAGUACACGACAUGUGCGACUUAAGUUCUUAAAUACCUGAAACUGUUAAAGAAAAAAAAAUAUUCUGUUUUUGUACACAACCCAAGAUUUAAGAAAAUUUGUCCAUUUAUUGUUGUAAAUAUACUUGUCCAUACAAACCAGUUAUAUAGAUAAUGAAUGAAGAAUAUAAGAAAAAAAGAAUGAGCUCAUCAAUACAGAAAAAGAAGCUACAAACAAAAAAGAAUAAAAGAAAUCGAAGAAGACCAAUAAAUUUCGAAACAAUU